CGGCCCGGAAGUCCUGCAUGUCCCCUCGUCGAAUCACAUGUAUUUCGUGUCUGUUAGCUAGCUGCUGCUUAUAUAAACAACCCAGAAUUAAAAUAUGAAACAUCAGACAGCAGAGUGACAAUAAACAUGCGCUGAAUGAGGAAUGUGACGGAACUUAUUAUACUUAUUCGCUUACGUUUGUAAACUGCGGUAAAGAAAAGUGUUUCGGAAACACUGCUAUUUACAUUUAUACCAACUGUUUUUGUUGUUGUUGUGAAAGAACGCGUUGUAUUUGUUGGUCGUGACGGACCAUCCGUGAAUGAUCUGCUUCAUCUCUUAUGUUGGGGAUGUGAUCCUCUCCCACAUUAUGGUCUCAGCCACUCAUGUGACCAUGCCUGUCCAUCCUUUCCUGGUCCUGCUGCCCAUUCUGGGGCUCCUUGUGUUUCCAUAUUCACCCAUGCAUUUGGUAAAUGGCCUCGGGAUAGUGGAAAAACCAGCGAAUUGUUCCCUGAGUCCUGCAGGUGAACUCUGUUCGAAAGCCCAGAAUGUUUCUUGUGAAAAUGCCACAAAUUUCAACCUGUUAGUGGAACCAGAUAUGAACCUAAAUGGUAAUAU
Carassius carassius (crucian carp) is the source of this 594-nucleotide long non-coding RNA. RefSeq lists it as uncharacterized. The transcript has 4 exons. NCBI's taxonomy places the organism in Eukaryota, Metazoa, Chordata, Actinopteri, Cypriniformes, Cyprinidae. The record is from RefSeq and is a predicted model, not a curated record.